This 253-nucleotide ribosomal RNA is filed under the name uncultured bacterium. RNAcentral describes it as "partial 16S ribosomal RNA". It matches the Rfam family "Archaeal small subunit ribosomal RNA", at positions 474 to 727 of the family's 1478-position model. The record is from RNAcentral.
UACCAGCACCCCGAGUGGUCGGGACGAUUAUUGGGCCUAAAGCAUCCGUAGCCUGUCAUGCAAGUCCUCCGUUAAAUCCACCUGCUUAACAGAUGGGCUGCGGAGGAUACUACAAGGCUAGGAGGCGGAAGAGGCAAGCGGUACUCAGUGGGUAGGGGUAAAAUCCUCUGAUCCAUUGAAGACCACCAGUGGCGAAGGCGGCUUGCCAAUACGCGCUCGACGGUGAGGGAUGAAAGCUGGGGGAGCAAACCGG